GAAAAUUUGAUCUGAUUAGAUUAAUUCAGAUGUAAAUUUAUGUUAUACGGUGAAUGUAUCGAGUCAUAUAUUAUGCAGAAUAUAUUGAGAAAAAUGGUAAACUAAC
RNAcentral lists this long non-coding RNA (106 nucleotides) under Sitophilus oryzae (rice weevil). RNAcentral's name for it is "uncharacterized LOC115885019". The record is from RNAcentral. Lineage: Eukaryota; Metazoa; Arthropoda; Insecta; Coleoptera; Curculionidae.